AGAGUUUGAUCCUGGCUCAGAACGAACGCUGGCGGCAGGCUUAACACAUGCAAGUCGAGCGCCCCUCCUUCAAGCAAGCUUGAAGGAAUUUUCCUUGGAAAAGAGAAGAUCAAAAAGCUUCUUCAAGAAGCUUUCUUGAUGGAGGGGAGCGGCAGACGGGUGAGUAACGCGUGGGAAUCUACCCAACCCUACGGAACAACUCCGGGAAACUGGAGCUAAUACCGUAUACGCCCUUUGGGGGAAAGAUUUAUCGGGGAUGGAUGAGCCCGCGUUGGAUUAGCUAGUUGGUGGGGUAAAGGCCUACCAAGGCGACGAUCCAUAGCUGGUCUGAGAGGAUGAUCAGCCACAUUGGGACUGAGACACGGCCCAAACUCCUACGGGAGGCAGCAGUGGGGAAUAUUGGACAAUGGGCGCAAGCCUGAUCCAGCCAUGCCGCGUGAAUGAUGAAGGCCUUAGGGUUGUAAAGUUCUUUCACCGGAGAAGAUAAUGACGGUAUCCGGAGAAGAAGCCCCGGCUAACUUCGUGCCAGCAGCCGCGGUAAUACGAAGGGGGCUAGCGUUGUUCGGAAUUACUGGGCGUAAAGCGCACGUAGGCGGAUAUUUAAGUCAGGGGUGAAAUCCCAGAGCUCAACUCUGGAACUGCCUUUGAUACUGGGUAUCUUGAGUAUGGAAGAGGUAAGUGGAAUUGCGAGUGUAGAGGUGAAAUUCGUAGAUAUUCGCAGGAACACCAGUGGCGAAGGCGGCUUACUGGUCCAUAACUGACGCUGAGGUGCGAAAGCGUGGGGAGCAAACAGGAUUAGAUACCCUAGUAGUCC
Molecule: ribosomal RNA, 814 nt
Filed under: uncultured bacterium
Lineage: Bacteria
Description: bacterial SSU rRNA
Rfam family: Bacterial small subunit ribosomal RNA
Source: RNAcentral